GCUAAUACAUGCAAGUCGAACGCACAGCGAAAGGUGCUUGCACCUUUCAAGUGAGUGGCGAACGGGUGAGUAACACGUGGACAACCUGCCUCAAGGCUGGGGAUAACAUUUGGAAACAGAUGCUAAUACCGAAUAAAACUUAGUGUCGCAUGACACAAAGUUAAAAGGCGCUUCGGCGUCACCUAGAGAUGGAUCCGCGGUGCAUUAGUUAGUUGGUGGGGUAAAGGCCUACCAAGACAAUGAUGCAUAGCCGAGUUGAGAGACUGAUCGGCCACAUUGGGACUGAGACACGGCCCAAACUCCUACGGGAGGCUGCAGUAGGGAAUCUUCCACAAUGGGCGAAAGCCUGAUGGAGCAACGCCGCGUGUGUGAUGAAGGCUUUCGGGUCGUAAAGCACUGUUGUAUGGGAAGAACAGCUAGAAUAGGAAAUGAUUUUAGUUUGACGGUACCAUACCAGAAAGGGACGGCUAAAUACGUGCCAGCAGCCGCGGUAAUACGUAUGUCCCGAGCGUUAUCCGGAUUUAUUGGGCGUAAAGCGAGCGCAGACGGUUUAUUAAGUCUGAUGUGAAAGCCCGGAGCUCAACUCCGGAAUGGCAUUGGAAACUG
RNAcentral lists this ribosomal RNA (606 nucleotides) under Leuconostoc mesenteroides. Its description in RNAcentral is "bacterial SSU rRNA". It matches the Rfam family "Bacterial small subunit ribosomal RNA", at positions 46 to 635 of the family's 1533-position model. The record is from RNAcentral. Lineage: Bacteria; Bacillati; Bacillota; Bacilli; Lactobacillales; Lactobacillaceae.